ACGUAGGGGGCAAGCGUUGUCCGGAAUUAUUGGGCGUAAAGCGCGCGCAGGCGGCCUUGUAAGUCUGUUGUUUAAACUCGGGGCUCAACCCCGAGUCGCAAUGGAAACUGCAAAGCUUGAGUACAGAAGAGGAAAGUGGAAUUCCACGUGUAGCGGUGAAAUGCGUAGAGAUGUGGAGGAACACCAGUGGCGAAGGCGACUUUCUGGGCUGUAACUGACGCUGAGGCGCGAAAGCGUGGGGAGCAAACAGGA
Molecule: ribosomal RNA, 252 nt
Filed under: uncultured prokaryote
Description: partial 16S ribosomal RNA
Rfam family: Bacterial small subunit ribosomal RNA
Source: RNAcentral